UACGUAGGGUGCGAGCGUUGUCCGGAAUUACUGGGCGUAAAGAGCUCGUAGGUGGUUUGUCGCGUUGUCCGUGAAAACUCACAGCUUAACUGUGGGCGUGCGGGCGAUACGGGCAGACUGGAGUACUGCAGGGGAGACUGGAAUUCCUGGUGUAGCGGUGGAAUGCGCAGAUAUCAGGAGGAACACCGGUGGCGAAGGCGGGUCUCUGGGCAGUAACUGACGCUGAGGAGCGAAAACGUGGGGAGCGAACAGG
RNAcentral lists this ribosomal RNA (253 nucleotides) under uncultured bacterium. RNAcentral's name for it is "partial 16S ribosomal RNA". It matches the Rfam family "Bacterial small subunit ribosomal RNA", at positions 524 to 776 of the family's 1533-position model. The record is from RNAcentral.